RNAcentral lists this non-coding RNA (747 nucleotides) under Stylosomus ilicicola. Lineage: Eukaryota; Metazoa; Arthropoda; Insecta; Coleoptera; Chrysomelidae. The record is from RNAcentral.
AAAAAGUUAAAAUUUAACUUAAAAAUUGGUUCGGUCUAUAUUUUACAUAUAUAGUUUAAGUUUUAGAUAAAAAGUUUAUUGUAGUAAUUAAUUUUAUAUAUUUAGUAAAUUAGGAUAUAGUAAUAGAUUAAAGUAUUAACUAAAUUUGUGCCAGCAGUUGCGGUUAUACAAAUAAUACUAUUAAUUUUGGCGGUUAAGUAAUAAUUUGUUUAUUAAUUUUAAAAUUUUUAUUUUAAGGUGAAAUUUUAAUAUUUUAAAAGAUUAAUUUAUAAUAAGAGUUUACAUAAGUUUUGUAAAAAACCAGGAUUAGAUACCCUGCUAUUAAAACUAUAAUAUUAAAGCCUUGGUUAGUAUGGGUUAAGUUCCUGAAAAUCAAAUAUUUUGGCGGUAUUUUUACCAUUCAGAGGAAUCUGUCCUGUAAUUGAUUUUCCACGUUUAAUUAAACUUUUAUUUUACUUGUAUAUCGUUGUUAUAAGAAUGUUUUUAGAAAAUGGUAAUUUUCGGAGAUUAUAAUUUUAAGGGAGUUCAAAUCAAGGUGCAGUUUUUAAAAGUAGAGAUGGAUUACAUUAUAUUUAUAUUAGGAUUUAAAAUUUUAGGUUUUAUUGAAUUUGGAUUUGAAGGUAAUUUUAUGAAUAUUCAUAAAAUGAUUAAGGUACUAAAAUAUGUACAUAUCGCCCGUCGCUUUUAUUAUUAUAAUAAAAUAAGUCGUAACAUAGUAGAUUUACUGGAAAGUGGUUCUGGAAUGUC